AAAGUAACCAACUAUCCUUAUAUUUAAAUAUUUCAGAUUCUAUUAUUAUCAUAGUUUCUGUAUUAUAUUGUAAAAAAUAUAAUAAUAAUAAUAACAGUAAUAAUAAUAAUAAGUAUAAAGUUAUUAUAUUAUUGAAAGUACAGAGUAUUUAAGGUUUUUAAUAUUUUGAUUUUUGAAUCAAAAAAUUUUACUGCUGAGAUGAUAGUAGUUUUUUCUAGAAUUAAGUGAUUUCUACGUGAUAAUAGUAUAAAUUUAAAAAUUAGGUAUGAUAAAAAAGAUUGAUCUAAUAAUUAAAAAAUUAAAAGUAUUAGGUUAUGUGUUAGUAGCUUUAUUCUAAUAAUAAUAGUAGUUUAAUUAA
Molecule: long non-coding RNA, 358 nt
Filed under: Ananas comosus (pineapple)
Lineage: Eukaryota; Viridiplantae; Streptophyta; Magnoliopsida; Poales; Bromeliaceae
Description: long non-coding RNA (ACOM_LNC012778)
Source: RNAcentral